Molecule: ribosomal RNA, 1554 nt
Filed under: Escherichia coli
Lineage: Bacteria; Pseudomonadati; Pseudomonadota; Gammaproteobacteria; Enterobacterales; Enterobacteriaceae
Description: bacterial SSU rRNA
Rfam family: Bacterial small subunit ribosomal RNA
Source: RNAcentral
AAAUUGAAGAGUUUGAUCAUGGCUCAGAUUGAACGCUGGCGGCAGGCCUAACACAUGCAAGUCGAACGGUAACAGGAAACAGCUUGCUGUUUCGCUGACGAGUGGCGGACGGGUGAGUAAUGUCUGGGAAACUGCCUGAUGGAGGGGGAUAACUACUGGAAACGGUAGCUAAUACCGCAUAACGUCGCAAGACCAAAGAGGGGGACCUUCGGGCCUCUUGCCAUCGGAUGUGCCCAGAUGGGAUUAGCUAGUAGGUGGGGUAAAGGCUCACCUAGGCGACGAUCCCUAGCUGGUCUGAGAGGAUGACCAGCCACACUGGAACUGAGACACGGUCCAGACUCCUACGGGAGGCAGCAGUGGGGAAUAUUGCACAAUGGGCGCAAGCCUGAUGCAGCCAUGCCGCGUGUAUGAAGAAGGCCUUCGGGUUGUAAAGUACUUUCAGCGGGGAGGAAGGGAGUAAAGUUAAUACCUUUGCUCAUUGACGUUACCCGCAGAAGAAGCACCGGCUAACUCCGUGCCAGCAGCCGCGGUAAUACGGAGGGUGCAAGCGUUAAUCGGAAUUACUGGGCGUAAAGCGCACGCAGGCGGUUUGUUAAGUCAGAUGUGAAAUCCCCGGGCUCAACCUGGGAACUGCAUCUGAUACUGGCAAGCUUGAGUCUCGUAGAGGGGGGUAGAAUUCCAGGUGUAGCGGUGAAAUGCGUAGAGAUCUGGAGGAAUACCGGUGGCGAAGGCGGCCCCCUGGACGAAGACUGACGCUCAGGUGCGAAAGCGUGGGGAGCAAACAGGAUUAGAUACCCUGGUAGUCCACGCCGUAAACGAUGUCGACUUGGAGGUUGUGCCCUUGAGGCGUGGCUUCCGGAGCUAACGCGUUAAGUCGACCGCCUGGGGAGUACGGCCGCAAGGUUAAAACUCAAAUGAAUUGACGGGGGCCCGCACAAGCGGUGGAGCAUGUGGUUUAAUUCGAUGCAACGCGAAGAACCUUACCUGGUCUUGACAUCCACAGAACUUUCCAGAGAUGGAUUGGUGCCUUCGGGAACUGUGAGACAGGUGCUGCAUGGCUGUCGUCAGCUCGUGUUGUGAAAUGUUGGGUUAAGUCCCGCAACGAGCGCAACCCUUAUCCUUUGUUGCCAGCGGUCCGGCCGGGAACUCAAAGGAGACUGCCAGUGAUAAACUGGAGGAAGGUGGGGAUGACGUCAAGUCAUCAUGGCCCUUACGACCAGGGCUACACACGUGCUACAAUGGCGCAUACAAAGAGAAGCGACCUCGCGAGAGCAAGCGGACCUCAUAAAGUGCGUCGUAGUCCGGAUUGGAGUCUGCAACUCGACUCCAUGAAGUCGGAAUCGCUAGUAAUCGUGGAUCAGAAUGCCACGGUGAAUACGUUCCCGGGCCUUGUACACACCGCCCGUCACACCAUGGGAGUGGGUUGCAAAAGAAGUAGGUAGCUUAACCUUCGGGAGGGCGCUUACCACUUUGUGAUUCAUGACUGGGGUGAAGUCGUAACAAGGUAACCGUAGGGGAACCUGCGGUUGGAUCACCUCCUUACCUUAAAGAAGC